Molecule: non-coding RNA, 456 nt
Organism: Cicer arietinum (chickpea)
Lineage: Eukaryota; Viridiplantae; Streptophyta; Magnoliopsida; Fabales; Fabaceae
Source: RefSeq, a predicted model, not a curated record
GAACAGAGGAAGAAAGUUUUGGGGUUGUAGGAAUUUUGUGAGUCAUGAUAUUGAAUGUAGAUGCAAUUACUUUGUUUGGGAUUCAGACUAUAUGCCUCAAACACAACAGAGAACUCCACAACAACUACAUACACAAUGUUUAGAGUGCCCCCAAAAGGAGUUGGAGAUUAUGACUCUUAGGAAUGUCAUUUUGAAGAUGCAUGGAGAUCACAAGUCAACCAUUAUUAAGAUGAAGUUGCUGCUAUUUUUAUGCGUUUUGUUUGGUGUAGCAUGUGUUGUUUUAUUGUUGAUCUUAGCUCUAAAAUGAGCUUAUUGUAGUAGAUGUAAUUUUCUUGAGGUUGAUGUAGUAGAUUUGUUGUAAGUAUGUAGUUAUGAUAGAGUUUGUUGUAUGGAAUUUGGAACUAUUAAUGUAAUUUUCUUUUGCAUCAAUUGUGGCUCCAAUGUUCUUGGUUGUUA